Molecule: unclassified non-coding RNA, 289 nt
Filed under: Hevea brasiliensis (rubber tree)
Lineage: Eukaryota; Viridiplantae; Streptophyta; Magnoliopsida; Malpighiales; Euphorbiaceae
Source: RNAcentral
AAAAGAAAAAAAAAACAAAAAAAAUCAACAAACAGAGAAUCGAAAACUGUCUAUGUAAUUUCAGAAUUCACAGAUUAAUUUUGGUAUGUGGGUCUGAUUUUAAAGAAAACUUCCAUGUUAGAUUCAGCCAAAAUACCAAAAAGAAAGAAUCAAAAUUUGUUCAUGACUAUAUAUAUUUCAAGAACCAGUUAGUUGUUGAAAAAAUAGAAAAAGAGAAAUGAAAAAAGCAAAACUAAUCUUUUCUUUCUUGGAUAAGCAAGAAAAUAAAGCAAAAUUUUAAUACAUACAG